GGGUUGGUCUAUGCUUCGGUCUUAUUUCGGCUGUGCGCUCAGGCUGCACGCCGUUAACCUCUCACACCUGUGCACCUUUUCGGUUGCGGCUUCGGCCGCUUCCGCUUUUACAUGCAACCACGAAAAGUCUAGAAUGUGACGAGAACUAUAAAGUAACAACUUUCAACAACGGAUCUCUUGGCUCUCGCAUCGAUGAAGAACGCAGCGAAAUGCGAUAAGUAAUGUGAAUUGCAGAAUUCAGUGAAUCAUCGAAUCUUUGAACGCACCUUGCGCUCCUUGGUAUUCCAUGGAGCAUGCCUGUUUGAGUGUCACGUAAACCCUCACCCCUGCGAUGUAACAGUCGCCUGCGGUGGACUUGGACCGUGCCGGUAAUCGGCUCGUCUUGAAAUGCAUUAGCUGGUGCUUUUAGAGUGCUGGGCGAACGGUGUGAUAAUUAUCUGCGCCGACUGCCCUGGGCCUCUUCAGCGGCGCUGCUUACAGCCGUCCCUUGUGGACAACUAUUUUAAAGCUUUGGCCUCAAAUCAGGUAGGACUACCCGCUGAACUUAAGCAUAUCAAUAAGCGGAGGAA
This 569-nucleotide ribosomal RNA is filed under the name Auricularia auricula-judae (jelly ear fungus). Its description in RNAcentral is "eukaryotic LSU rRNA". The stretch from base 158 to 311 matches the Rfam family "5.8S ribosomal RNA". Lineage: Eukaryota; Fungi; Basidiomycota; Agaricomycetes; Auriculariales; Auriculariaceae. The record is from RNAcentral.